AGAAAGAUAAGCUAAUUAAGCUAAUGGGUUCAUAUCCCACUUAUAGAGGUUAAAUUUAAAUCCUCUUCUUUCUA
This 74-nucleotide transfer RNA is filed under the name Sclerophasma paresisense. Its description in RNAcentral is "tRNA-Met". Lineage: Eukaryota; Metazoa; Arthropoda; Insecta; Mantophasmatodea; Mantophasmatidae. The record is from RNAcentral.